AGAGUUUGAUCAUGGCUCAGAACGUACGCUGGCGGCACGCCUAUACAUGCAAGUCGAACGAAGUAGCAAUACUUAGUGGCAGACGGGUGAGUAACAUGUGGGUAUCUUCCCUUUGGUGAGGAAUAACACGAGGAAACUUGUGCUAAUACCUCAUAAGUCUUUACGGAGAAAGCUUUAUGCGCCAUUGGAUGAGCCCGCACUUGAUUAGUUUGUUGGUGGGGUAAUGGCCUACCAAGACUGUGAUCAAUAGCUGAUUUGAGAGGAUGAUCAGCCACAUUGGGACUGAAACCCGGCCCAAACUCCUACGGGAGGCAGCAGUAGGGAAUCUUGCUACAAUGGAGGAAACUCUGAUGCAGCGAUGCCGCGUGAGUGAAGAAGGCCUUUGGGGUUGUAAAGCUCUUUCGUCGGGGAAGAAAAUGACUGUCCCCGAAUAAGAAGGUCCGGCUAACUUCGUGCCAGCAGCCGCGGUAAUACGAAGGGACCUAGCGUAGUUCGGAAUUACUGGGCUUAAAAAGUUCGUAGGUGGUUAAAAAUAGUUGGUGGUGAAAUCCCAGAGCUUAACUCUGGAACUGCCAUCAAAACUUUUUAGCCUAGAGUUAAAUGAUAGAGGAAAGCAGAAUUUCUAGUGUAGAGGUGAAAUUCGUAGAUAUUAGAAAGAAUACCGAUUGCGAAGGCAGCUUUCUGGAUCAUUACUGACACUGAGGAACGAAAGCAUGGGUAGCGAAGAGGAUUAGAUACCCUCGUAGUCCAUGCCGUAAACGAUGUGUGUUAGACGUUGGAAAUUUAUUUUCAGUGUCGCAGCGAAAGCGAUAAACACACCGCCU
Molecule: ribosomal RNA, 824 nt
Filed under: uncultured Pseudomonadota bacterium
Lineage: Bacteria; Pseudomonadati; Pseudomonadota
Description: bacterial SSU rRNA
Rfam family: Bacterial small subunit ribosomal RNA
Source: RNAcentral